GACGAACGCUGGCGGCGUGCUUAACACAUGCAAGUCGAACGGAAAGGCCCUGCUUUUGUUGGGUGCUCGAGUGGCGAACGGGUGAGUAACACGUGAGUAACCUGCCCUUGACUUUGGGAUAACUUCAGGAAACUGGGGCUAAUACCGGAUAUGAGCUCCUGCUGCAUGGUGGUGGUUGGAAAGUUUCGGCGGUUGGGGAUGGACUCGCGGCUUAUCAGCUUGUUGGUGGGGUAGUGGCUUACCAAGGCUUUGACGGGUAGCCGGCCUGAGAGGGUGACCGGCCACAAUGGGACUGAGAUAGGGAGCAGAAUCCUACGGGAGGCAGAAGUGGGGAAUAUUGCACAAUGGGCGGAAGCCUGAUGCAGAAACGCCGGGUGCGGGAUGACGGCCUUCGGGUUGUAAACCGCUUUCGCAUGUGACGAAGAGUGAGUGACGGUAAUGGGUAAAGAAGCCCCGGCUAACUACGUG
This 468-nucleotide ribosomal RNA is filed under the name uncultured bacterium. RNAcentral's name for it is "partial 16S ribosomal RNA". It matches the Rfam family "Bacterial small subunit ribosomal RNA", at positions 28 to 507 of the family's 1533-position model. The record is from RNAcentral.